This 275-nucleotide ribosomal RNA is filed under the name uncultured bacterium. RNAcentral describes it as "partial 16S ribosomal RNA". It matches the Rfam family "Bacterial small subunit ribosomal RNA", at positions 28 to 302 of the family's 1533-position model. The record is from RNAcentral.
GAUGAACGCUAGCGGCAGGCUUAACACAUGCAAGUCGAGGGGUAUUGGUUUUCGGACCAAGAGACCGGCGCACGGGUGCGUAACGCGUAUGCAAUCUACCUUUUGCAGAGGGAUAGCCCCAGAGAAAUUUGGGAUUUAAUACCCUCAUAGUAUAGUACUUUGGCAUCAAGGAACUAUUAAAGUCACAACGGCAAAAGAUGAGCAUGCGUCCCAUUAGCUAGUUGGUAAGGUAACGGCUUACCAAGGCUACGAUGGGUAGGGGUCCUGAGAGGGAG